This 570-nucleotide ribosomal RNA is filed under the name Glyptothorax dakpathari. RNAcentral's name for it is "partial 16S ribosomal RNA". It matches the Rfam family "Bacterial large subunit ribosomal RNA", at positions 1816 to 2597 of the family's 2925-position model. The record is from RNAcentral. Lineage: Eukaryota; Metazoa; Chordata; Actinopteri; Siluriformes; Sisoridae.
CGCCUCCUGCAAACAACGACGUAUAGGAGGUCUUGCCUGCCCAGUGACAAUGUUAAACGGCCGCGGUAUUUUGACCGUGCGAAGGUAGCGCAAUCACUUGUCUUUUAAAUGAAGACCUGUAUGAAUGGUGAAACGAGGGCUUAACUGUCUCCCUUUUCUAGUCAAUGAAAUUGAUCUGCCCGUGCAGAAGCGGACAUAAAAAUACAAGACGAGAAGACCCUUUGGAGCUUAAGAUAUAAAGAUCAUCUAUGUCAAUGGGCCCCAACACAGCAACAAACUAAAUAGCAACUGAUCUUAAUCUUCGGUUGGGGCGACCACGGGAGAAAAUAAAGCUCCCACGCGGACUGGGGUAAACCCUAAAACCAAGAAAAACAUUUCUAAGAAACAGAACUUCUGACCAUUAAGAUCCGGCUACACGCCGACCAACGGACCAAGUUACCCUAGGGAUAACAGCGCAAUCCCCUUUCAGAGUCCAUAUCGACAAGGGGGUUUACGACCUCGAUGUUGGAUCAGGACAUCCUAAUGGUGCAGCCGCUAUUAAGGGUUCGUUUGUUCAACGAUUAAAGUCCU